UGGGGAAUAUUGCACAAUGGGCGAAAGCCUGAUGCAGCAACGCCGCGUGAGUGAUGAAGGCCUUCGGGCUGUAAAGCUCUGUCUUUUGGGACGAUAAUGACGGUACCAAAGGAGGAAGCCACGGCUAACUACGUGCCAGCAGCCGCGGUAAUACGUAGGUGGCAAGCGUUGUCCGGAUUUACUGGGCGUAAAGGAUGCGUAGGCGGAUUUUUAAGUGAGAUGUGAAAUACCCGGGCUUAACUUGGGUGCUGCAUUUCAAACUGGGAAUCUAGAGUGCGGGAGAGGAGAAUGGAAUUCCUAGUGUAGCGGUGAAAUGCGUAGAGAUUAGGAAGAACACCAGUGGCGAAGGCGAUUCUCUGGACCGUAACUGACGCUGAGGCAUGAAAGCGUGGGUAGCAAACAGGAUUAGAUACCCUGGUAGUCCACGCCGUAAACGAUGAGUACUAGGUGUAGGAGGUAUCGACCCCUUCUGUGCCGCAGUUAACACAAUCAAGUACUCCGCCUGGGAAGUACGAUCGCAAGAUUAAAACUCAAAGGAAUUGACGGGGUC
Molecule: ribosomal RNA, 550 nt
Filed under: uncultured bacterium
Lineage: Bacteria
Description: partial 16S ribosomal RNA
Rfam family: Bacterial small subunit ribosomal RNA
Source: RNAcentral